AUGCAGCUGUUCAACUCUGAUGGAAAAGACAGCCGCACGUCACUCGCUGAUGCUGGGAGCACCGAGGGCGAGGUUUUUGUACGACCACCUCACGACCUUGCAUCACUGUGGUGGAGUUUCGGCGGUGGGACCAAACUCGUCAUCGGCUCGGGUGAGGUGCGGCCCCCCACGCUGACCAUCUUCCCCCCCUCCAAGGAGCAGCUGCAGACCGGCAGUGCCACGGCGGUGUGCGUGGCCAGCGGAGGCUUCCCCCCGGACUGGAAACUGGGCUGGAAGGUGGGGGGCAGCAGCAGCACCUCGGGGGUGUCACACAGCUCGGAGGAGGCCACCAGCGACGGCCGCUACAGCUGGACCAGCACCCUGAGCCUCCCCGCCGACCGGUGGAGCGCGGCCGGCUCGGUGAUCUGCGAGGCCACCAUGCAGGGGCAGAACCCCGUCACCCAAACCCUGACGGACCCGGGCCGCUGCUCAGAGUAGAACCUGAGAC
Non-coding RNA from Dunckerocampus dactyliophorus (ringed pipefish), 487 nucleotides. NCBI's taxonomy places the organism in Eukaryota, Metazoa, Chordata, Actinopteri, Syngnathiformes, Syngnathidae. The record is from the annotation of a RefSeq genome assembly.